Molecule: ribosomal RNA, 446 nt
Filed under: uncultured bacterium
Lineage: Bacteria
Description: SSU rRNA
Rfam family: Bacterial small subunit ribosomal RNA
Source: RNAcentral
AGAACGAACGCUGGCGGCAGGCCUCAAACAUGCAAGUCUAGGGGGUGUAGCAAUACAUCACCGGCGGACGGGUGCGUAACACGUGGGAAUAUACCUUUUGGUUCGGAACAACGCAGGGAAACUUGCGCUAAUACCGAAUGUGCCCUUACGGGGAAAGAUUUAUCGCCAAAGGAUUAGCCCGCGUAGGAUUAGCUAGUUGGUGAGGUAAUGGCUCACCAAGGCUCCGAUCCUUAGCUGUUCUGAGAGGAAGAUCAGCCACACUGGGACUGAGACACGGCCCAGACUCCUACGGGAGGCAGCAGUUGGGAAUCUUGGACAUGGGGGAACCCUGAUCCAGCCAUGCCGCGUGAGUGAUGAAGGCCUUCGGGUUGUAAAACUCUUUCGACGGGGACGAUAAUGACGGUACCCGUAGAAGAAGCUCCGGCUAACUUCGCGCCAGCAGCCGC